This is a long non-coding RNA of Macrobrachium nipponense, 303 nucleotides long. RefSeq lists it as uncharacterized. The record is from RefSeq and is a predicted model, not a curated record. The transcript is spliced from 2 exons. NCBI's taxonomy places the organism in Eukaryota, Metazoa, Arthropoda, Malacostraca, Decapoda, Palaemonidae.
UUAGCGCAGAUAUUACAAAAGCUUCAAAGUAUUACAUGGCUCUAAAAUCUUUUACUGAAAAGAACGCCUUCAUCAUAUCUGUCCCACAUUUUUCAUUAAAUGUUCGGCCCUGUUGAGUGAAACUAUGAACGUAAACUACACGAGUGUGAGGACCAGAGAUUAAGACAGAAAGGCCGCGGAACGCUCUAACGGAUGGAAGUAAGAACAACGCGACUUGAUGACUGGAUACAAUAAAAAAUAGGGAAAAGCAUUGUCCUUACACGAGAAUUGGAGACGACCACCACCGCAUAUCAAACAACGUAA